RNAcentral lists this ribosomal RNA (338 nucleotides) under uncultured Pseudomonadota bacterium. RNAcentral's name for it is "bacterial SSU rRNA". It matches the Rfam family "Bacterial small subunit ribosomal RNA", at positions 29 to 351 of the family's 1533-position model. Lineage: Bacteria; Pseudomonadati; Pseudomonadota. The record is from RNAcentral.
AACGAACGUUAGCGGCGCGCUUAACACAUGCAAGUCGAGCGAGAAAGGGCUUCGGCCCCGGUACAGCGGCGCACGGGUGAGUAACACGUAGGUAAUCUGCCCCCAUGUGGUGGAUAACCUUCCGAAAGGAGGGCUAAUACAGCAUGAGACCACGAGCUCGAAAGGGCAUGAGGUCAAAGCCGGCCUAUUCACGAAAGCUGGCGCAAGGGGAUGAGCCUGCGGCCCAUCAGCUAGUUGGUAGGGUAAUGGCCUACCAAGGCGAAGACGGGUAGCUGGUCUGAGAGGAUGGAUCAGCCACACUGGAACUGAGACACGGUCCAGACACCUACGGGAGGCAG